Non-coding RNA from Camellia sinensis, 571 nucleotides. The record is from RefSeq and is a predicted model, not a curated record. Lineage: Eukaryota; Viridiplantae; Streptophyta; Magnoliopsida; Ericales; Theaceae.
UUCUCUAAUUUCAAACGAUGAAUUUAAGUAUUGCCUUAUAAGUGUAUCCUACCUACUGUUUGUAAUAUUUUUGUUGUGGGCCAACACAGGAGCUACGUAAAGAUGGUUUUGACCUUGCCGUUGCUCGAUACAAGGAGCUGAAACCAAUCCUUGAUGAGUUGGCCAUUUUAGAGGCGGAGCAGAAGGCUGAAGAGGAAGAAGGGCCUGAAAGUAGUAGUCUGAGAAAGAGAGGCAACAAGAAAAACAAACAUUUAGCAUCAAAGUAGUUUUAAGAGCUUUUUAAACGUUUGCCAUCAAUAGAGAUGUAAAGUAAUUCAGUUGGUUUAGUUGUAAUAUUAAGUUAAUAAUUAUUAUUUAAAUGGAUAAACACAAACGCAAAGAAGUGCACACGCGCGCAUACACGCGCGCUCACAAACACUCGAAUGCUUCACUUUUUCGUUUCUUUUUCUGAGCCAUUGCUGUGCUUUAAACUCUCCAGCCAAUUUGCUCGUUCUGAUUUUGUUUAAAAUUUGAAUUUAGGUCUUUUUCUGUUUUUGUUUUUGUGAAGUAUAAGAGCAUCAAAUAUUCCUGA